RNAcentral lists this ribosomal RNA (289 nucleotides) under uncultured bacterium. RNAcentral describes it as "partial 16S ribosomal RNA". It matches the Rfam family "Bacterial small subunit ribosomal RNA", at positions 773 to 1060 of the family's 1533-position model. The record is from RNAcentral.
GUGGAUUAGAUUCCCUAGUAGUCCACGCCCUAAACGAUGUCGACUGGGUGUCGGGAGAGAGAUCUCUUGGUACCGUAGCUAACGCGUGAAGUCGACCGCCUGGGGAGUACGGCCGCAAGGUUAAAACUCAAAGGAAUUGACGGGGACCCGCACAAGCGGUGGAUGAUGUGGAUUAAUUCGAUGCAACGCGAACAACCUUACCUACCCUUGACAUGUCCGGAACCCUGCCGAGAGGCGGGGGUGCCCGAAAGGGAAUCGGAACACAGGUGCUGCACGGCUGUCGACAACU